RNAcentral lists this long non-coding RNA (1425 nucleotides) under Betta splendens (Siamese fighting fish). RNAcentral describes it as "lncRNA (ENSBSLG00000011353.1)". The record is from RNAcentral. Lineage: Eukaryota; Metazoa; Chordata; Actinopteri; Anabantiformes; Osphronemidae.
AUGGAUGACAUCAAGCUGUACGCCAAGAGUGAGCGAGACAUUGACUCGCUGAUCCACACCACCAGGAUCUACAGCUCGGACAUCGGGAUGUCAUUCGGACUCGAGAAAUGUGGGAGGAUGGUGACAAAGAGAGGCAAGGUAAUCCACACAGAAGGGGUCUCACUCCCAGAAGGAACAAUAGCAGACAUUGAGGACAAUUACAAGUACCUUGGAAUACCACAGGCAAACGGCAACCUUGAACAGGCAACAAGGAAUGCGGCAACAGCCAAAUACCUCCAACGAGUAAGGCAAGUCCUAAGAAGCCAGCUCAAUGGCAAGAACAAAUCCCGGGCAAUAAACAGCGACGCUCUGCCAGUGAUCAGAUACCCUGCAGGAAUAAUAAGGUGGCCAAAGGAAGAGAUACAGACCACAGAUGUUAAGACACGAAAGCUCCUCACCAUGCACGGAGGGUUCCACCCCAAAUCCAGCACCCUGAGACUGUACGCUAGCCGCAAGGAAGGAGGCAGAGGACUAGUGAGCGUGAGAGCCACUAUCCAGGAUGAAACAUCCAAGAUCCAUAAGUACAUCAAGGAUAAGGCCCCGACAGAUGACGUGCUGAGUGAAUGUCUCAGGCAGUGGAGAACAGAGGAUGAGAUGCUGGAAGAGGGACCAUCAUGGGAGGACAAGCCCUUGCACGGGAUGUACCACCGGAACAUAACUGAAGUGGCUGAUCUCAACAAAUCCUACCAAUGGCUUGAAAGGGCUGGGCUGAAGGACAGCACAGAGGCACUCAUCCUGGCUGCACAGGAGCAGGCCCUGAGCACCAGAGCCAUAGAGGCCCAGAUCUACCACACCAGACAAGACCCAAGGUGUAGACUGUGCAAAGAGGCCCCAGAGACGGUCCAGCACAUAACUGCAGGGUGUAAGAUGCUGGCAGGCAAAGCAUACAUGGAACGCCAUAACCAAGUGGCUGGCAUAGUAUACAGGAACAUCUGCGCGGAGUAUGGACUGGAAACCCCAAGGUCAAAGUGGGAAACACCUCCCAAGGUGGUAGAGAACGAGCGAGCCAAGAUCCUGUGGGACUUCCAGAUCCAGACUGACAGAAUGGUAAUGGCGAACCAACCAGACAUUGUGGUGGUGGAUAAAGAGCAGAGGAAAGCCGUAGUGGUGGAUGUGGCAAUACCAAGCGAUGGCAACAUCAGGAAAAAGGAACAUGAGAAACUAGAGAAAUACCAAGGGCUCAGAGAAGAACUGGAGAAGGCUUGGAAGGUGAAGGCCACAGUGGUGCCUGUGGUGAUCGGAGCACUAGGGGCUGUGACCCCCAAACUGGAGGAGUGGCUACGACAGAUCCCUGGAAAAACAUCCGAAAUCUCAGUCCAGAAAGGUGCAGUCCUAGGAACAGCAAAGAUACUGCGCAGAACCCUCAAGCUCCCUGGCCUCUGGUAG